AAAGAAAUUUGGAGUCCGAGUCAGCUACCCCCGACUCGGUUCGUGACGACUGACGACGAGUGACGAGAUCCCAAUUCCCGGUCAGUUCGUGUUUCCCGGAAAAAACCCAGCGCCCUCCCCACCGCCGCCCGCCUCCCUCGCCUCCUAUCGGAAUCCAUCCCGAUGGCGCAAGGCACCGUGCCGUCCGCAGCCGGGGCCGGCGGAGGCGGCUGCGCCUCGGCCCCCGCCGUCUCCACGACCCCCCCUGGCACGCCACGGGCCUCCGCGGCAGCCGCGCCGCCACCGCCUCCUCCCUCCUUCGCGACUGGAUUCUACUACGCCGUGGAGCUCUACUUCGACCCGGCGCUAGAGAACCAGGUGCUCAAGGCGUGGAACGCGCUGGCGCGGCGGCAACUUGGCAGCCGCCUCAUCGACGCGGCCGCUCGCCCGCACCUCCCGCUGCUCCACCUCCCCGCCGCCGCGCUCCCGCCGCCUGGCACCGGCGCGGGCGGGGACCCGCUCCUCCGCCUCGCACCCUCGCUCCGCGCGCUCGCGUCGCGCCUCGACCCGCUCGCGCUCGCGCUCUCCUCGCUCGCCGCGCUCCCGGCCUCCGCCACCUCCUCUCCACACGACAACGUUCUCUUCCUCGCGCCCACUCCGUCUGCCGCGCUGCUCGGCCUCCAUGCGCAGCUCUGCGAACUGCUGCGGAAGGACGCUGGCGUCGAGAUCCCCGACCCGUUCCGGCCGGACCACUGGCUACCACGGUGCGCCGUCGCCAUCGACGUGCCACGCGGCCGCAUGGCCGAGGCCUUCUGCGUGCUCCGAGAGCUAAAGCUGCUCCCCGUCUCUGGGUACGGGAUGGACAUCGCGCUUGUCGAGGUCGGGGCAACCGUCAGGGAGCUCGUGUGCUACCCGCUCGGCGGCAGCGGUAGCACUGGAGCCGACUGAGAGGAACUCCUAAACUUGAUAGCGAUUCUUCGCCGAUUUAGCAAUUGAUAUGGUAGUAUGAAUCAACUAGGAGCUUGAUGAGAUUGUUUGAUGACGAUUGUAUUAGAGUGGACUAAUCAGGGAGCCCCCUGUUUUAUGCCAAGAUGAUCUUCUUGCUGCCUGAUUUUCUGCCAUCUGCUUACCACCCGUGGGUUCUACAGAAGGGAAAGGGGCGGCGUUGUUUCAGGGUGGCAGCGCUGAAUCGGGAGCGGCGGAGGCCAAAUCCAGGGCGGCAGAGGCCAAAUCCAGGGCGGCGGAGGCUGAAUCGUCGGCGGCAGCGUCCAAAUCGUCGGCGGCGGCGGCGAUUCUGAGGUGGCGACGGCGAAUCUGAGGCGGCGGCGGCUCAAUCGGGGGCAGCGGCAGCUGAAUGGUGGGGGAGAGAGGCAACCUAGGGUUGCCAGAUGAAGGAUUAUAUGGGCUGGCUGGUGGGCUGGGCCUCCUACCCCUUCCUUCUCCUUUUUUCUUUUUCUUUUUUUUUCUUUUUCUUCCUCCUCCAUGGGGCUGUUUUGCUGAUUCUCAGGUUGAUAAGGCGUCGCCUUGCUCGCCUUAGGCGUCGCCUAGGCGUCUAGGCGGGGGUCCGGCGCCUUAUCUCGCCUUACCGCCUUAAGAACCAUGAUCAUUGCUGAUGCAGGUUGGCCGCGA
This is an RNA transcript of Zea mays, 1608 nucleotides long. It is a transcript of the gene named RNA ligase/cyclic nucleotide phosphodiesterase family protein, with no coding region annotated. The transcript has 4 exons. The record is from RefSeq and is a predicted model, not a curated record. Lineage: Eukaryota; Viridiplantae; Streptophyta; Magnoliopsida; Poales; Poaceae.